RNAcentral lists this long non-coding RNA (1101 nucleotides) under Phaseolus vulgaris (common bean). RNAcentral describes it as "long non-coding RNA (PVUL_LNC002970)". The record is from RNAcentral. Lineage: Eukaryota; Viridiplantae; Streptophyta; Magnoliopsida; Fabales; Fabaceae.
UUACCAUAAUUCUGAUUUCAACUUCUUCCUCUCCCUUGUGAUUUCCACCCAGUUCUAAUGACUCUAUCUUGUUUCCAAUUAUUUUGGUUUGAAGAAUUUUAUUGUCAAAGACUAUAGUCCCUGGUAAUUGCUUUUCCUUGUUGUAAAACAAGGGAGAACACAUGAUUGAUGCUUGAUAAAGGGUCCAUGAGUAAAAUUCGAGUCUUAACUAUGCCAUAAAGAUCAUUGAGACCCUUCAAAAAACAUAUAACAUUUUUCAUCAAAGAAUAGUUACAUUUUACCUUACAGAUGCAUUUUUGGAGUUGGUCUUAAUGACUCAAGUUCCUCCAAUAGGAUCUUCAGGUAUGUAAAAAAUCCAUAAACACUUAUUUCUCAUUGCUUCAUUGAAUGAACUUCUUGCAAAAGAUCAGAGAUCCUAAUAUGAUCUCCUUUUGAAAACCUCUCUUUCAAAUCCUCCUAGAGUUCCAUUCAAUUUUCUAUAUAUAUAGUGCUUUGUGCAAUCUGGCCAUUCAACAACCCGUGUGAUCCAUGAGAUCACCAUCACGUUACAUCUCUCCCAUGCUUCAAGAGAUAUGUUCCUUGUUGUAGCAUAUCCAAAGAUCUGUCAGUGAACUUCAAUUUAUUCUUAGACAAUAUGGCCCUUUGAUAGCCCUGCUCCACGUAUGAUAAUUUGCACCAUUGAGUUGUAUAUUUAUCAAGAUCAUGUCUGGGUUUUCUCCAUGAUGAAGAUAAUAGGGGAUGGAAGGAUUCUAAUGAUAUUUAACACUAUUGGCAUUUGACGAGCUCUCCAUGAAAACGGAAAAUCAAAAGGCAAGAAACAAACAAGAUCAAAGGAAGAGAAAAAAAAAGAGAAGAAAAAAAGGACAUCAGAAGUAGAGCAGGUCUUAGUCUGCUCUGAUAUAUUGGAAUAUAUCCAUAGUAGAGGCGUGGAAGAUUUAAAGAUUAAUAAUGUAUGUGGAAGGCAGCAACUCUGCACAAAAAGGGAUACGCGUAGAUGCAAAUACAAUAUGUGUUAAGAUGCAAAGAAAAGGAGGACAAAGAGAAGAGACACGUAAGGGGAGAAAACUGAAUCUUGUAUUUUGUUUAUACUGUUCUACUCUU